AGCAGCCGCGGUAAUUCCAGCUCCAAUAGCGUAUAUUAAAGUUGUUGCAGUUAAAAAGCUCGUAGUUGAAUUUCGGGGUCAGUGAGUUGGUCGUGCCACUGGUAUGCACUGGCUUUACUGAUUCCUCCUUCUUGAAGAAUUGUAAUGCUAUUAAUUUAGUGUUGCAGGGAAACAGGACUGUUACUUUGAAAAAAUUAGAGUGUUUAAAGCAGGCUA
RNAcentral lists this ribosomal RNA (216 nucleotides) under uncultured Glomus. RNAcentral's name for it is "partial small subunit ribosomal RNA". It matches the Rfam family "Eukaryotic small subunit ribosomal RNA", at positions 569 to 787 of the family's 1831-position model. The record is from RNAcentral. Lineage: Eukaryota; Fungi; Glomeromycota; Glomeromycetes; Glomerales; Glomeraceae.